This is a long non-coding RNA of Xenopus laevis (African clawed frog), 477 nucleotides long. RefSeq lists it as uncharacterized. The transcript has 2 exons. The record is from RefSeq and is a predicted model, not a curated record. NCBI's taxonomy places the organism in Eukaryota, Metazoa, Chordata, Amphibia, Anura, Pipidae.
CAGAAAAUGGUGACAUUCACAAUGUACACAAAAUAUAAGGGAAUCCCAGACUCCGUUGGAUUGUUUUUUUGGCAGCAAAAUACAUUUGUGGCGGAUACAAACAGCAUUUAUCAAGUGCAUUGCAAUGUGGCUGGAUAUUGUAAUGUGAGGACUGAGUGCAAAGUUCCCAUUCUGGGGUCAAGACCAACUGCAACUAUGUAUUUGCGCCUACAGCCUGGACCAACGGGUAAAAUAAUGGAAUUUGCUGGAUGAAAUGAUCUAUUUCUCUUCCUGUUCUUGCCAUACUCUCUGCAGUACCUGCUACAUUAAUAUUUGCCACAAGAUAAAAGCAAAUACAAAGCAGCAAAGGAACCAAAUCACACUGAACCAAACUCCAUACAAGCACUUUAUGGUUAUGAGGCAACUUUGAAGGACUUUUACUGUUGUACCUAAAUAAGGACAACUGGGUGCUAAACAAUAAACGUGAUGAUUUUCCAA